GCCUGCUGCCAGACACCCUGAAUGUGCCUCAUCUCCUCUGAUUUCAGAAGCUAAGCAGGGUUGGGCCUGGUUAGGACUUGGGUGGGAAAAGAUGAGACGCCAUGUCAGGGGAGGGG
Mustela putorius furo (domestic ferret) is the source of this 116-nucleotide ribosomal RNA. The record is from Ensembl. NCBI's taxonomy places the organism in Eukaryota, Metazoa, Chordata, Mammalia, Carnivora, Mustelidae.